This 492-nucleotide ribosomal RNA is filed under the name uncultured bacterium. RNAcentral describes it as "partial 16S ribosomal RNA". It matches the Rfam family "Bacterial small subunit ribosomal RNA", at positions 29 to 507 of the family's 1533-position model. The record is from RNAcentral.
AGUGAACGCUGGCGGUAGGCCUAACACAUGCAAGUCGAACGGCAGCACAGUAAGAGCUUGCUCUUACGGGUGGCGAGUGGCGGACGGGUGAGGAAUACAUCGGAAUCUACUUUUUCGUGGGGGAUAACGUAGGGAAACUUACGCUAAUACCGCAUACGUCCUACGGGUGAAAGCAGUGGAUCUUCGGACCUUGCGCGAUUGAAUGAGCCGAUGUCGGAUUAGCUAGUUGGCGGGGUAAAGGCCCACCAAGGCGACGAUCCGUAGCUGGUCUGAGAGGAUGAUCAGCCACACUGGAACUGAGACACGGUCCAGACUCCUACGGGAGGCAGCAGUGGGGAAUAUUGGACAAUGGGCGAAAGCCUGAUCCAGCAAUACCGCGUGGGUGAAGAAGGCCUUCGGGUUGUAAAGCCCUUUUGUUGGGAAAGAAAAGCAGCAGGUUAAUACACCGCUGCUCUGACGGUACCCAAAGAAUAAGCACCGGCUAACUUCGUG